CAGCCGCCACGGUAAUACAGAGGGUGCGAGCGUUAAUCGGAUUUACUGGGCGUAAAGCGUGCGUAGGCGGCUUUUUAAGUCGGAUGUGAAAUCCCUGAGCUUAACUUAGGAAUUGCAUUCGAUACUGGGAAGCUAGAGUAUUGGAGAGGAUGGUAGAAUUCCAGGUGUAGCGGUGAAAUGCGUAGAGAUCUGGAGGAAUACCGAUGGCGAAGGCAGCCAUCUGGCCUAAUACUGACGCUGAGGUACGAAAGCAUGGGGAGCAAACAGGAUUAGAUACCCCAGUAGUCCCUGUCUCUUAUAC
RNAcentral lists this ribosomal RNA (301 nucleotides) under uncultured bacterium. RNAcentral's name for it is "partial 16S ribosomal RNA". It matches the Rfam family "Bacterial small subunit ribosomal RNA", at positions 509 to 807 of the family's 1533-position model. The record is from RNAcentral.